This is a non-coding RNA of Aspergillus heteromorphus CBS 117.55, 137 nucleotides long. The record is from the annotation of a RefSeq genome assembly. Lineage: Eukaryota; Fungi; Ascomycota; Eurotiomycetes; Eurotiales; Aspergillaceae.
GCCUUUAUAGCUCAGUGGUAGAGCGCUUGACGUACGUCAUUUUCCCAACUUCCCUUAACCAGUCUUUAUCUAACAUUUCCAAAGUUGUAUCACCUUAGGAUAUCAAGAGGUCCGUGGUUCAAUCCCGCGUGGAGGCA